Molecule: non-coding RNA, 48 nt
Filed under: Trichobilharzia regenti
Lineage: Eukaryota; Metazoa; Platyhelminthes; Trematoda; Strigeidida; Schistosomatidae
Source: RNAcentral
AUCCAGCGGACGAGUCCCAAAUAGGAUGAAAUCCACGUAAUCCUGGAU